GGCAUCUUGUCCGAGUGGUUAUGGAGUUGGUUUUAAGCACCAAUGCUCGAAAGAGCGCGCGCGUUCGAACCGCGCAGAUGUCA
This 83-nucleotide transfer RNA is filed under the name Drechslerella stenobrocha 248. RNAcentral describes it as "tRNA-Leu (TAA) (tRNA-Leu-TAA-1-1)". It matches the Rfam family "tRNA". From Rfam's summary of the family: Transfer RNA (tRNA) molecules are approximately 80 nucleotides in length. Their secondary structure includes four short double-helical elements and three loops (D, anti-codon, and T loops). RNAcentral also lists the same sequence under 1 other name. The record is from RNAcentral. Lineage: Eukaryota; Fungi; Ascomycota; Orbiliomycetes; Orbiliales; Orbiliaceae.